AUUGCUUCUCGGCCUUUUGGCUAAGAUCAAGUGUAGUAUCGCUUAUCAGUUUAAUAUCUGAUACGUCCUCUAUCUGAGGACAAUAUAUUAAAUGGAUUUUUGGAAGUAGGAGUUGGAAUAGGAGCUUGCUCCGUCCGCUCCACGCAUCGCCCCUGUAUUUCCAUACAUCCAGGAACGGUGCACCCCCU
Acomys russatus (golden spiny mouse) is the source of this 188-nucleotide small nuclear RNA. RefSeq annotates it as U2 spliceosomal RNA. Lineage: Eukaryota; Metazoa; Chordata; Mammalia; Rodentia; Muridae. The record is from RefSeq and is a predicted model, not a curated record. The transcript has a single exon.